UGGGGAAUUUUGGACAAUGGGCGCAAGCCUGAUCCAGCCAUGCCGCGUGCGGGAAGAAGGCCUUCGGGUUGUAAACCGCUUUUGUCAGGGAAGAAAUCUUCUGAGUUAAUACCUCGGGAGGAUGACGGUACCUGAAGAAUAAGCACCGGCUAACUACGUGCCAGCAGCCGCGGUAAUACGUAGGGUGCAAGCGUUAAUCGGAAUUACUGGGCGUAAAGCGCGCGCAGGCGGUUUUGUAAGACAGAGGUGAAAUCCCCGGGCUCAACCUGGGAACUGCCUUUGUGACUGCAAGGCUUGAGUGCGGCAGAGGGGGAUGGAAUUCCGCGUGUAGCAGUGAAAUGCGUAGAUAUGCGGAGGAACACCGAUGGCGAAGGCAAUCCCCUGGGCCUGCACUGACGCUCAUGCACGAAAGCGUGGGGAGCAAAACAGGAUUAGAUACCCUGGUAGUCCACGCCCUAAACGAUGUCAACUGGUUGUUGGGAAGGUUCCCUUCUCAGUAACGUAGCUAACGCGUGAAAGUUGACCGCCUGGGGAGUACGGCCGCAAGGUUGAAAACUU
Molecule: ribosomal RNA, 558 nt
Filed under: uncultured bacterium
Lineage: Bacteria
Description: partial 16S ribosomal RNA
Rfam family: Bacterial small subunit ribosomal RNA
Source: RNAcentral